Felis catus (domestic cat) is the source of this 820-nucleotide long non-coding RNA. RefSeq lists it as uncharacterized. The transcript has 2 exons. NCBI's taxonomy places the organism in Eukaryota, Metazoa, Chordata, Mammalia, Carnivora, Felidae. The record is from RefSeq and is a predicted model, not a curated record.
UAUUCCAUUGGAUAUUCUUUCCUGCUUUGUCAAAGAUUAGUUGACCAUACGUUUGUGGGUCCAUUUCUGGGUUCUCUAUUCUGUUCCAUUGAUCUGAGUGUCUGUUCUUGUGUCAUGACCUUUCCUUCCUUAUACUUCAAUCAUUUUAUGUCCAGAGCUUACCUCUGGCUUAAUCUACUCCCUUUGUUAUCUCCACACACUCCAUGAGUGCAGAGAAAAUGCAUGCUUACCCCAGUCCUAACUCCUGAUGCCACUGCCUAUCAGGACCUGCUCAGGUGGGGUGGGGAAUCUGGUAUCCGUCCAGUGUAAGGGCAGGCAAUUGGGAGUGGCUGGUGGGUAGAGAGGGGGUGGAGAUAGGAGUUAGGCCAUGUUUCCUCCUAUUUCCAACCUCAGCAUAGGAUACAAACCCUAGCUUCUCUCAUUCUGUCCCCAUAGAGUCCUCCAGGCACAUCUGCCAUUGUUCCUUGGAGAGCAGGUCAUGGCCAGGAGGAAAUGGAGGGUGGGUGCAGGCCCUGUACAGACACAACCACAACCUCCAAGUGGCUAGACUGACUUGUUCAAGGUAUUUUUCUUGGCCUUUGAAUCCAAAGCCCCUGCCAGGUAACCUGCGCUGGCACCAUGGUCACAUCAAGGGCACCUAGAACUGCUAUCGCCAGAGGCAGAUGCCAUUUACAUUGCCCCCAACACAGGAGCACAGCAAAAUAGAUGUUCCUUUGCUCUGGACUCUUCCUGUUUUCUUCCUGGGGCUGCACAUGCCACUCUUCCCCCCACGCCCCCCUGCCAUUUGGAAAAAUAAAGCAUUCAACUGACCAUCCACUUA